AAUAAGUUUAUUUGUGGGUCUGUGUCUAAUAUUUGACCGACCGACCAUCUUAUUUAAAUUCUUUUAUAAUUAAUAUUUUUUAUUGUUAUUAGAUGAUAAUAACAUAAAUAAUACUUUAUACGUGAUUUUUUUUAUUUUUUUUAAAUAAAAUUUUUAAAUAAGACGGACGGUCGAAUGUUGGACACAGAAACCCACAAAUAAACUUAUU
This is a non-coding RNA of Oryza nivara, 208 nucleotides long. The record is from Rfam. NCBI's taxonomy places the organism in Eukaryota, Viridiplantae, Streptophyta, Magnoliopsida, Poales, Poaceae.